GACAGAGGGUGCAAACGUUGCUCGGAAUCACUGGGCGUAAAGGGCGUGUAGGCGGGAAGGAAAGUCAGAUGUGAAAUCCCUGGGCUCAACCCAGGAACUGCAUUUGAAACUCCCUUUCUUGAGUGUCGGAGAGGAAAGUGGAAUUCCUGGUGUAGAGGUGAAAUGCGCAGAUAUCAGGAAGAACACCCGUGGCGAAGGCGGCUCGCUGGGACGGUACUGACGCUGAGACGCGAAAGCGUGGGGAGCGAACAGG
RNAcentral lists this ribosomal RNA (253 nucleotides) under uncultured bacterium. Its description in RNAcentral is "partial 16S ribosomal RNA". It matches the Rfam family "Bacterial small subunit ribosomal RNA", at positions 524 to 776 of the family's 1533-position model. The record is from RNAcentral.